CGAAUCCUCUCCUUCUCUAUGUGUUCCUGUAUAUAGAGACAUGUAUGUGUAGAUAGUUCUUUGUGUGUGUUGGUACAGAUUUAGAUUAGAGUAGAUCGAUAAAAGUUGGAGCUUGCUGUUAGGUUUUUGUUUGUGUUUUGUGUUUUGCCCUAAUUGAAUUCUGAUUCUAGGGCAAAAUUAGGGUUUUUGUGGCUGGGUAU
RNAcentral lists this unclassified non-coding RNA (200 nucleotides) under Hevea brasiliensis (rubber tree). The record is from RNAcentral. Lineage: Eukaryota; Viridiplantae; Streptophyta; Magnoliopsida; Malpighiales; Euphorbiaceae.